RNAcentral lists this small RNA (206 nucleotides) under Mytilus galloprovincialis (Mediterranean mussel). The record is from RNAcentral. Lineage: Eukaryota; Metazoa; Mollusca; Bivalvia; Mytilida; Mytilidae.
CGGGGGGGGGGGGGGGGGGGGGGGAGGGCUUGUAUUUUUUUGGAAAAAAAAGUUUGUUUUAAGUUUUUGGAGAAAAAAAUAAUUUGUUUUUGAACCUGAGAAAAAAAAAUUGUUUGUUUUCACCCUCAGCUGCCAAAAAAAAGUUUGUCCAGAAAAAAAAAUCCAUAGCCCCCCCCCCCCCCCCCUUCCCCCCCCCCCCCCCCGCC